AACUACCUCAUAGUAUAGCUAGUUUCCGACAUAGAAACCACUAUUAAAGUCACAACGGUGAAAGAUGAGCAUGCGUCCCAUUAGUUAGUUGGUAAGGUAACGGCUUACCAAGACAAUGAUGGGUAGGGGUCCUGAGAGGGAGAUCCCCCACACUGGUACUGAGACACGGACCAGACUCCUACGGGAGGCAGCAGUGAGGAAUAUUGGUCAAUGGGCGCAAGCCUGAACCAGCCAUGCCGCGUGCAGGAAGACGGUCCUAUGGAUUGUAAACUGCUUUUAUACAGGAAGAAACCCUCCCACGUGUGGGAGCUUGACGGUACUGUAGGAAUAAGGAUCGGCUAACUCCGUG
This 349-nucleotide ribosomal RNA is filed under the name uncultured bacterium. RNAcentral describes it as "bacterial SSU rRNA". It matches the Rfam family "Bacterial small subunit ribosomal RNA", at positions 164 to 507 of the family's 1533-position model. The record is from RNAcentral.